RNAcentral lists this ribosomal RNA (490 nucleotides) under uncultured bacterium. RNAcentral describes it as "partial 16S ribosomal RNA". It matches the Rfam family "Bacterial small subunit ribosomal RNA", at positions 30 to 507 of the family's 1533-position model. The record is from RNAcentral.
AUUGAACGCUGGCGGCAGGCCUAACACAUGCAAGUCGAACGGUAACAGGAAGCAGCUUGCUGCUUCGCUGACGAGUGGCGGACGGGUGAGUAAUGUCUGGGAAGCUGCCUGAUGGAGGGGGAUAACUACUGGAAACGGUAGCUAAUACCGCAUAAUGUCGCAAGACCAAAGAGGGGGACCUUCGGGCCUCUUGCCAUCGGAUGUGCCCAGAUGGGAUUAGCUUGUUGGUGGGGUAACGGCUCACCAAGGCGACGAUCCCUAGCUGGUCUGAGAGGAUGACCAGCCACACUGGAACUGAGACACGGUCCAGACUCCUACGGGAGGCAGCAGUGGGGAAUAUUGCACAAUGGGCGCAAGCCUGAUGCAGCCAUGCCGCGUGUAUGAAGAAGGCUUUCGGGUUGUAAAGUACUUUCAGCGGGGAGGAAGGGAGUAAAGUUAAUACCUUUGCUCAUUGACGUUACCCGCAGAAGAAGCACCGGCUAACUCCGUG